This 1417-nucleotide long non-coding RNA is filed under the name Junco hyemalis (dark-eyed junco). Its description in RNAcentral is "lncRNA (ENSJHYG00000016305.1)". Lineage: Eukaryota; Metazoa; Chordata; Aves; Passeriformes; Passerellidae. The record is from RNAcentral.
GAGCUGCAGUGGCAUGUGUUGUGAGGCUUUUAGGGAUCACUUCUUUUUCAUACCAUUUGCCCGUGCAUAGGCAGCUAAAUGCUCCAAAACCUCGAGCUUUGUCCCAGGAUCCUUCUGGAGCAGCCAAAGCAUGGAGCUAGACUGAGCAGAGACAAGAAGGACAGCUUGGGAAGAGAGGUGGGUGCUUGCACUUGGGAAGCUCUUUUGGCUGGGACUCAUUGCCUUUACAUCAGCCAUUUACAAGUAUCAAUAGAGGAUGCAAAACAAACAGACAGACAACAAACUCUGCAAAAUAGGUUUAUUUUAAAAUUUGAACCAAAUAGAGAUUGCAUUUAUUGCAUGAAUCACAUGCAGGUGAAUACUAUAAAAAUACCUGUGCAGCAUUUAUAUAUAAUUUAUAAAAUCUUCAUAGCAUAAAAUAGCUGUGAAUCAGAACAGAAAUUUUACACAUAAAGCUGCAUGAAUGUCCCUGUCAAAGUGUGCCUUUCUUGGGAGUAAUUCCAAUCCCCAGCUUAAAUGCUCACCUUGCUGCCAAGUUUUUCCUAAGUUUGUGAUGUGGCCCCUCUGCAGGGCUCCAGUUGUGCACUGCACCUGUGUGUCAUGCAGCUCUCUUAGCACAAGGUGUUUAAAGGUAUUUUAAACCUGAUGGCAGAAUUUCUGUGGUGUAUGGGGGGGAGAGAGGCUGAGCAUGGAACCCCAUGGCUGUGGUGUUCCCUGUUCAGCCCUCACCCAGGGGCAGGUGUGAGUGGCCAUGUGCCCUGCUGAAAGGCUCACUGGAGCUGUUUGCAUGCACGUGUAAAGUCCACACAACCUGAGAAAAUCUAAACUUGUUACAAUUUCUGCCUGCAUUUCUUCUGGAGAAUGGCAACCUGGGUUUAGAGUGGUGCAGCUUUUUCACCUCGCACUCCUCAGACAUCUCCCAGCUAUUCCAGAUUUGGAAUUGGUUAUGUUAAUCCAGGCAGUCAAUGGACGGCAAAGCACCACUUUUACAUUCUUCAGGUUCAUUUUUCCUGCAGCCAGGAAGACAAGUGGACAUGGGUAGAAAGCUGGCUCUCACUGUACAUUCUGCCAGGCAAGGCACAGGGGCCGUGCUUGAAGCUCUGCAGCAAUAGCACUGUACAUGUUCCUAGCCAAGCAGACCACGUUCACUGCUGUAUUUCUCAACAGCUCAUUGGUCCAACAGCUGAAAUAUAUUGUUUUAAAUAAGCAGCCUGAGAUAUAGGGAUGCCCUUCCUAUGGACACACCUCCCUGCUAUUCUACAAGUGUACACAAAGUGUUGCAGGAUGCAUGGAAGACCAAUUGUGGUGCUGUGCAGCAGCAGAAAAUGAUGGCAUCUGUAAUUGUCACACGCUGUAGUCCCAGAGUCACUGCUCAGCUGCUUCCACAACGGAGUUUAGGGACUCUACUUGUCACCCC